Molecule: non-coding RNA, 112 nt
Organism: Borealophlyctis nickersoniae
Lineage: Eukaryota; Fungi; Chytridiomycota; Chytridiomycetes; Rhizophlyctidales; Borealophlyctidaceae
Source: the annotation of a GenBank genome assembly
GGGUGUUUGGCCGAGCGGUUUAAGGCGCCACGUUCAGGUUCGUGUAAUACACGUGUUACACACGAAAAUCGUGGUCUCGAAAGAGGCGUGAGUUCGAAUCUCACAGCACCCA